Molecule: ribosomal RNA, 253 nt
Filed under: uncultured bacterium
Lineage: Bacteria
Description: partial 16S ribosomal RNA
Rfam family: Bacterial small subunit ribosomal RNA
Source: RNAcentral
UACGUAGGGGGCAAGCGUUGUCCGGAUUUAUUGGGCGUAAAGAGCGUGUAGGCGGCCAGGCAGGUCCGUUGUGAAAACUCGAGGCUUAACCUCGAGAUGUCAUCGGAAACCAUCUGGCUAGAGUCCGGAAGAGGAGAGUGGAAUUCCUGGUGUAGCGGUGAAAUGCGCAGAUAUCAGGAAGAACACCAAUGGCGAAAGCAGCUCUCUGGGACGGUACUGACGCUGAGACGCGAAAGCGUGGGGAGCGAACAGG